UAAAAAUUAGUUAAAUAAAUAACAUUAAUUUGUCAAAUUAAAAUCAAUACUUAAAACUAUUAUUUUUAA
This 69-nucleotide transfer RNA is filed under the name Polycentropus flavomaculatus. Its description in RNAcentral is "tRNA-Asp". The record is from RNAcentral. Lineage: Eukaryota; Metazoa; Arthropoda; Insecta; Trichoptera; Polycentropodidae.